This 215-nucleotide small RNA is filed under the name Vigna angularis var. angularis. RNAcentral's name for it is "Non-protein coding transcript". Lineage: Eukaryota; Viridiplantae; Streptophyta; Magnoliopsida; Fabales; Fabaceae. The record is from RNAcentral.
UGCAGAACCAGUGCCUGAUCCACUUUUCAAACCGUUUAUCUGCAAUGUGUCUGCUCCAAAAUCCUGUGAUGUCCAUCGUGGUGAAGGUUUUUCUGGCAAUGCCUCAGACAUUUCCAAUGCAAAAGGGUUAAUGGAGUUGCAACAGAGGCAUGAAGAAGAAAAUGCAUCGGAUGAACUUUGAUCGUUGUAGUCUUUGCAUAGAUGAGAUAUGGUAG